GUGCUUGCUUCAGCAGCACAUACACUAAAACUGGAACGAUACAGAGAAGAUUAGCAUGUCCCCUGCACAAGGAUAACACACAAAUUGGUGAAGCGUUCCAUAUUUUU
Carcharodon carcharias (great white shark) is the source of this 107-nucleotide small nuclear RNA. The record is from RefSeq and is a predicted model, not a curated record. Lineage: Eukaryota; Metazoa; Chordata; Chondrichthyes; Lamniformes; Lamnidae.